This 71-nucleotide transfer RNA is filed under the name Traversia lyalli (Stephens Island wren). RNAcentral describes it as "tRNA-Val". Lineage: Eukaryota; Metazoa; Chordata; Aves; Passeriformes; Acanthisittidae. The record is from RNAcentral.
CGAGAUGUAGCUACAAACAUAAAGCAUUCAGCUUACACCUGAAAGAUAUCUGCCCCCACAGAUCAUCUCGA